Molecule: long non-coding RNA, 2057 nt
Organism: Herpailurus yagouaroundi (jaguarundi)
Lineage: Eukaryota; Metazoa; Chordata; Mammalia; Carnivora; Felidae
Exons: 3
Source: RefSeq, a predicted model, not a curated record
UGGCCAGGAAGGGGGAGUCCUUUGUCUCCAGGGUGUGGGAGGUGGGGCUAAGUGCCCCCUAUUUGCAUUCAAGGAGGUUGUUACCUUAACUGAACAGACUUGUUUUCCAGGAGGCUAACUGUCCUGGUGAAUCCUGGAAGGUGAGGUUCAGAACCAUCCAGCUGGACCUACAGCUUCAUGCUCCACACUCCCCAACCUGUUUCCCCCUGGGAUGGGACAGAGGAACAGAGUGCCAGUAUCAACUCUCCAGUGUUUGCUAAAGGUGGAGCAUUCUGGAGCUGUGGCCACCUCUUCUCUUUUGACCCCAAUUAUCAGCGUCCAGAAAGGUGAAGUGUGGCUCUGGGAAGCCUCAGUCCCUGGCAGGCCCUGUCACUGAACUGCAACAGGUGCGUGAAAGCAACAAAGGCACGGUGAAGAGGUGUGUAGGGUUUGCCGCAGAAGACAUGGGGAGUGGGCUGUUCCUCACUCCCCCUUGGAACAGCAAGAGCUGAGUAAGGAAAACUGGUGAUACUUAAGGUGAAGCCAUGCAGGUUGGAGCUGGAAAUCUGUAGAAGAGCCAAGUAGGGGAAAUCAGGUACUAGAAAACACUUUGUAAGUGAAAGCUCUGGAGCUCUUAGCAAAGAGGGGGCAACCGUGAGCUCCUACAGUGGCUGCAGGGUUAUGCAGGAAGGACUGGGGCGCAGGCUAGGGAGGCUGCAGGUGUGAUACUACUAGACACACUAGCCAAUGGGGAGGCUUGGGGACCCACUACAUGAGGAGAGCUCAGGUUGGGGGCUGGAGGCCUGGGAGAACAGCACGGAUGGGGAGGGUUAAGUUGGCCGGCUGGAGUCAGGUUCCCCAAAGCCUGGCUCUUUGCAGCUUCAGCUGUCACCACUACCGGCCCCAAGCUCCUGGACACUUGGAAAGUCACACAAUUAGCCAGCCUGUAGAAAAAAUACCUUUUUAUUAAUUAUUAGGAAUAAUCCAUUCACUGAAUGCGGGGUAUAUGUUGGGGAAGGUUAGGUACUGCCAGAUGGAUGAGGGGAAACGUGCAAUAGGGCAGUGAGAAGGGGGACAGCCCCCCACUUUCCACAAACUAUAAAUAGCAACGUGAACACAGAAUCACAAAUAAGAAGAGCCUUCCUCAUGUCUCCUCCUAUCCCACUCUUUCAGAACGAGUCCCACUGUGGUCCCUAGAGGUGCCAGGGCAUCUGGAAGUUCGGGGCCGGGAGCGGGGUGCAGUGCGUGGCCUCGAAGUUGUGCAGAUACUUCUGAGCCUGAAGGAAGAGGGCAGGACAGGUGGGGUGCAGAGCACCGCAGUAUACAGCACCCCCAAACACCUCCACAGCCUCUGAAACCACCUCCCACACCCUACAAGCUGCCACUUCCAAUGCUUACAUGGUAUCCCCUGUCUCCAAGCCCCCUGGCCAUCCCGGCACCCCCUUCCUGCCCGCCACCCCUCAGCUCACCAGAAACAAGGCCAGCUGUCGCCUUCCGUCUGCACUCAUGUCCUCCCCUGUGGAGAAGAGCCGCUCACACAUGAGCCAUACAUCUGGGUAUUCAUCCCCCUUCCUGGCUUCUUCCCAACACCCCCUCCUGCCACAGGACGUCCUUACCCACACUCCAGGGGAAGUCAGGCCCGUGCUCUGCCUGGUAGGAGCGGAGGACGGACAGGCACCAGUCCUCCUCCACCUCCCAACGGCUAUAAAUCGAGGCUGCUCAGGGAGAGAAAGGAGGGCUUGUCAGUGACCUGGCCCGGCCAGGCCCCCACCCAAAGGCCUCACCGCAUCCCCCUGCACCUUCCUCCAGCUGUGAGGAGGCUUCCAGCCACUGCCUCACCACUCGAAGACCCUCCUCUGCCAUUACACGGGGAUACCUACAGAGGGAGCACCAGGACGAGAGGGCACUGUAUGGAGAAGACGGAGAGAGAAUAUCAAAGUGCAUCGAAGACCACGUGCAGAGGAAAACUUCACUUCCCUGAUCUCCCCCCUCCAGGACCCUGGUCUGCUUCUUUUCAUAAUGGGCAUAAGGUAGAAGGAAAUGUGAACGUAUACAAAUAGGAUACCAUCUUCCAGACA